CGAGAGAUUCUUCACCCAGGUCAUUAUUUGUGAAGUUGCUCCUCAUGGACACUUAACAGUUGUGAGUAGAUCAUGAUGCACUGAACCUUGAACCAAGUUGAGACACUGUCAUUAAGAAUUCCAUCAAUUCCACCAAUUCCCAACAAACACUCACAGAACACACAAGGAGGUUGGAAGUGUUAUAAAAUAUUUAUUUCAGGUUUGAAUCUGUAGACAGUUUUUUCCUUAUAAACCCCAAACAAACAUCUUAUGUGGUUAAUAGACGAAUAAAGAAAUGGAAAUAAAUAGAUGCCUUUAAAGCUUCUUUAUCUUCAUGAACGGUGCAGGAACCCCGAGAGAUCUCCAACAACCUCCAUAGUGAGGAACACGGUGUUAAACAGUGUGUUGAUUUACAUCAACGUCAAUAAAAUAAAAAAAUAAAAAUCAUUUAGCAUAACUUUAGCAGAGGUCUUGAGUUAUGACACUGAGGUGUGUGUGUGUGUGUGUGUGUGUGUGUGUGUGUGUGUGUGUGUGUGUGUGUGUGUGU
This is a long non-coding RNA of Silurus meridionalis, 526 nucleotides long. RefSeq lists it as uncharacterized. Lineage: Eukaryota; Metazoa; Chordata; Actinopteri; Siluriformes; Siluridae. The record is from RefSeq and is a predicted model, not a curated record. The transcript has 2 exons.